Molecule: ribosomal RNA, 498 nt
Filed under: uncultured bacterium
Lineage: Bacteria
Description: partial 16S ribosomal RNA
Rfam family: Bacterial small subunit ribosomal RNA
Source: RNAcentral
GACGAACGCUGGCGGCGUGCCUAAUACAUGCAAGUCGAGCGAAGUUUUUCUGGUGCUUGCACUAGAAAAACUUAGCGGCGAACGGGUGAGUAACACGUAAAGAACCUGCCUCAUAGACUGGGACAACUAUUGGAAACGAUAGCUAAUACCGGAUAACAGUAUUUCUCGCAUGAGAGAUAUUUAAAAGUUGGUUAUGCUAACACUAUGAGAUGGCUUUGCGGUGCAUUAGCUAGUUGGUGGGGUAAAGGCCCACCAAGGCGACGAUGCAUAGCCGACCUGAGAGGGUGAUCGGCCACACUGGGACUGAGACACGGCCCAGACUCCUACGGGAGGCAGCAGUAGGGAAUCUUCCGCAAUGGGCGAAAGCCUGACGGAGCAACGCCGCGUGAGUGAAGAAGGAUUUCGGUUCGUAAAGCUCUGUUGUUAGGGAAGAAUGGAUAUGUAGUAACUAUACAUGUAAGAGACGGUACCUAACCAGAAAACCACGGCUAACUACGU